RNAcentral lists this ribosomal RNA (197 nucleotides) under uncultured bacterium. Its description in RNAcentral is "partial 16S ribosomal RNA". It matches the Rfam family "Bacterial small subunit ribosomal RNA", at positions 328 to 539 of the family's 1533-position model. The record is from RNAcentral.
ACGCUCGACACCUACGGGAGCAGCAGUGGGGAAUAUUGCACAAUGGGGGAAACCCGUGAUGCAGCGACGCCGCGUGGAGGAAGAAGGUCUUCGGAUUGUAAACUCCUGUUGUUGGGGAAAAGAGGAUGGUACCCAACAAGGAAGUGACGGCUAACUACGUACCAGCAGCCGCGGUAAUCUGAGCGGGCUGGCAAGGC